UGGUCCGGUAGGUUGGGACAAACUACACC
This 29-nucleotide non-coding RNA is filed under the name Rattus norvegicus (Norway rat). Lineage: Eukaryota; Metazoa; Chordata; Mammalia; Rodentia; Muridae. The record is from RNAcentral.